This 73-nucleotide transfer RNA is filed under the name Mollivirus sibericum. It matches the Rfam family "tRNA". From Rfam's summary of the family: Transfer RNA (tRNA) molecules are approximately 80 nucleotides in length. Their secondary structure includes four short double-helical elements and three loops (D, anti-codon, and T loops). Further hydrogen bonds mediate the characteristic L-shaped molecular structure. tRNAs have two regions of fundamental functional importance: the anti-codon, which is responsible for specific mRNA codon recognition, and the 3' end, to which the tRNAs corresponding amino acid is attached (by aminoacyl-tRNA synthetases). tRNAs cope with the degeneracy of the genetic code in two manners: having more than one tRNA (with a specific anti-codon) for a particular amino acid; and 'wobble' base-pairing, i.e. permitting non-standard base-pairing at the 3rd anti-codon position. The record is from Rfam by way of RNAcentral.
CGUCGGAUGGCGCAGUUGGUAGCGCGUCGGUCCCAUAAACCGAAGGCCGCAGGAUCAAAGCCUGCUCUGACGA